AAUCUUCCACAACGGACGGAAGUCUGAUGGAGCAACGCCGCGUGAGCGAAGAAGGUUUUCGGAUCGUAAAGCUCUGUUUUAAGGGAAGAACAAGUACGGGCGUCACUGCCCGUACCUUUCCGGUCUCUUACCAGAAGGCCACCGCUAACUACGUUCCAGCCGCCGCGGUAAUACGUAGGUGGCAAGCGUUGUCCGGAAUUAUUGGGCGUAAAGCGCGCGCAGGCGGUCCUUUAAGUCUGAUGUGAAAGCCCACGGCUCAACCGUGGAGGGUCAUUGGAAACUGGAGGACUUGAGUACAGAAGAGGAAAGCGGAAUUCCACGUGUAGCGGUGAAAUGCGUAGAGAUGUGGAGGAACACCAGUGGCGAAGGCGGCUUUCUGGUCUGUAACUGACGCUGAGGCGCGAAAGCGUGGGGAGCAAACA
RNAcentral lists this ribosomal RNA (422 nucleotides) under uncultured bacterium. RNAcentral's name for it is "partial 16S ribosomal RNA". It matches the Rfam family "Bacterial small subunit ribosomal RNA", at positions 360 to 774 of the family's 1533-position model. The record is from RNAcentral.